ACACAUGCAAGUCGAGGGGCAGCGGGGAAAAGCUUGCUUUUCCGCCGGCGACCGGCGCACGGGUGCGCACCGCGUAUGGAACCUGCCUUGUACAGGGGAAUAGCCCAGGGAAACUUGGAUUAAUGCCCCGUAGUACCGUAUUUCGGCAUCGUUAUACGGUUAAAGCCUUCGGGCGGUACAAGAUGGCCAUGCGUCCCAUUAGCUUGUUGGUAAGGUAACGGCUUACCAAGGCUACGAUGGGUAGGGGCCCUGAGAGGGGGAUCCCCCACACUGGUACUGAGACACGGACCAGACUCCUACGGGAGGCAGCAGUGAGGAAUAUUGGACAAUGGAGGGGACUCUGAUCCAGCCAUGCCGCGUGCAGGAAGAAUGCCCUAUGGGUAGUAAACUGCUUUUAUACGGGAAGAAAAAGAGCUACGUGUAGCUUACUGACGGUACCGUAAGAAUAAGGACCGGCUAACUCCGUGCCAGCAGCCGCGGUAAUACGGAGGGUCCGAGCGUUAUCCGGAAUUAUUGGGUUUAAAGGGUCCGUAGGCGGGCCGAUAAGUCAGGGGUGAAAGUCUGCCGCUCAACGGUAGAACUGCCUUUGAUACUGUCGGUCUUGAGUUAUAGUGAAGUUGCCGGAAUAUGUAGUGUAGCGGUGAAAUGCAUAGAUAUUACAUAGAACACCGAUUGCGAAGGCAGGUGACUAACUAUAUACUGACGCUGAUGGACGAAAGCGUGGGGAGCGAACAGGAUUAGAUACCCUGGUAGUCCACGCCGUAAACGAUGGAUACUAGCUGUCCGGGGCCUUGAGUUCUGGGCGGCCAAGCGAAAGUGAUAAGUAUCCCACCUGGGGAGUACGUUCGCAAGAAUGAAACUCAAAGGAAUUGACGGGGGCCCGCACAAGCGGUGGAGCAUGUGGUUUAAUUCGAUGAUACGCGAGGAACCUUACCAGGGCUUAAAUGCAUAUUGACAGGGUCAGAGAUGACUUUUCCUUCGGGCAAUUUGCAAGGUGCUGCAUGGUUGUCGUCAGCUCGUGCCGUGAGGUGUCAGGUUAAGUCCUAUAACGAGCGCAACCCCUACCGUUAGUUGCCAGCAUGUCAUGAUGGGGACUCUAACGGGACUGCCGGUGCAAACCGUGAGGAAGGUGGGGAUGACGUCAAAUCAUCACGGCCCUUACGUCCUG
This 1168-nucleotide ribosomal RNA is filed under the name Maribacter sp. Its description in RNAcentral is "bacterial SSU rRNA". It matches the Rfam family "Bacterial small subunit ribosomal RNA", at positions 51 to 1211 of the family's 1533-position model. The record is from RNAcentral. Lineage: Bacteria; Pseudomonadati; Bacteroidota; Flavobacteriia; Flavobacteriales; Flavobacteriaceae.